This 476-nucleotide ribosomal RNA is filed under the name uncultured bacterium. Its description in RNAcentral is "bacterial SSU rRNA". It matches the Rfam family "Bacterial small subunit ribosomal RNA", at positions 338 to 806 of the family's 1533-position model. The record is from RNAcentral.
CCUACGGGAGGCAGCAGUGGGGAAUUUUGGACAAUGGGGGCAACCCUGAUCCAGCCAUGCCGCGUGAGUGAAGAAGGCCUUCGGGUUGUAAAGCUCUUUCAGCAGGAAAGAAACGGUACGGGUUAACACCCUGUGCUAUUGACGGUACCUGCAGAAGAAGCCCCGGCUAACUACGUGCCAGCAGCCGCGGUAAUACGUAGGGUGCGAGCGUUAAUCGGAAUUAUUGGGCGUAAAGCGUGCGCAGGCGGAUUGUUAAGCAAGAUGUGAAAUCCCCGGGCUUAACCUGGGAAGGGCAUUUUGAACUGGCAGUCUAGAGUGCGUCAGAGGGGGGUGGAAUUCCACGUGUAGCAGUGAAAUGCGUAGAGAUGUGGAGGAACACCAAUGGCGAAGGCAGCCCCCUGGGAUGACACUGACGCUCAUGUACGAAAGCGUGGGGAGCAAACAGGAUUAGAUACCCUGGUAGUCCACGCCCUAAA